AGGAGCCUUUAACUGCAGCUUGUUCUGAGGCCUCUGCACCGUUAGCCUGGACCUUCAGAAAGCCAAAUGCAAAGUUCGGAAUAACCCAACCAUUCAAGGAUAUUGAUAUCAGCCUGGAAAACUCCUUUGCUGCCCAGCUACAGGUGUAGGAUUGUUGUUGUGUGGCUGAAUGAUCCUGGUUAUCGCCCUCUCUCUCUCACCAUGGUGCAGCAGUGUGCCAGUUCCAUCUGAAGCCAAAGUCAUAACAGAACAGCCGGCGUGUUUGACAGAUGGGAAGGCUCGAUGGCUUGAAGCUUCCCUGUGAGGAGCUGGCAACCUGUCCAGAAGCACCCUGCCUCUUAGACCGAGCGUCUGCACCUCACGAUGAAUCCUUCAAGUUGUGCUAAUGUCGUCAUGAAAUCUAUUUUUGAGAGCUGACCAGAAAACAUGAACGCCA
Molecule: long non-coding RNA, 436 nt
Organism: Oreochromis aureus
Lineage: Eukaryota; Metazoa; Chordata; Actinopteri; Cichliformes; Cichlidae
Source: Ensembl